This 121-nucleotide non-coding RNA is filed under the name Streptomyces sp. RNAcentral describes it as "Glycine sequence". It matches the Rfam family "Glycine riboswitch aptamer". Rfam says of the family: This family represents the bacterial glycine riboswitch. Glycine riboswitches usually consist of two metabolite-binding aptamers domains with similar structures in tandem. The aptamers cooperatively bind glycine to regulate the expression of downstream genes. The record is from RNAcentral. Lineage: Bacteria; Bacillati; Actinomycetota; Actinomycetes; Kitasatosporales; Streptomycetaceae.
ACCACUCUGGAAAGCAGGGUGACGGGGGAGCGACGCUCCCCGGUUCCCUCACCGACGGUGCAAGCCGGGUCACGUGUGUGACGCGGUGAAGCUCUCAGGUCGACAUGACAGAGGGGGAGGC